AGCGAACGCUGGCGGCAGGCUUAACACAUGCAAGUCGAACGGUAAGGCCCUUCGGGGUACACGAGUGGCGAACGGGUGAGUAACACGUGGGUGAUCUGCCCUGCACUUCGGGAUAAGCCUGGGAAACUGGGUCUAAUACCGGAUAGGACCACUGCCUGCAUGGGUGGUGGUGGAAAGCUUUUGCGGUGUGGGAUGGGCCCGCGGCCUAUCAGCUUGUUGGUGGGGGGAUGGCCUACCAAGGCGACGACGGGUAGCCGGCCUGAGAGGGUGACCGGCCACACUGGGACUGAGAUACGGCGCAGACUCCUACGGGAGGCAGCAGUGGGGAAUAUCGCACAAUGGGCGCAAGCCUGAUGCAGCGACGCCGCGUGAGGGAUGACGGCCUUCGGGUUGUAAACCUCUUUCAGCACCGACGAAGCGCAAGUGACGGUAGGUGCAGAAGAAGGACCGGCCAACUACGUGCCAGCAGCCGCCGUAA
Molecule: ribosomal RNA, 478 nt
Filed under: uncultured bacterium
Lineage: Bacteria
Description: partial 16S ribosomal RNA
Rfam family: Bacterial small subunit ribosomal RNA
Source: RNAcentral